CUCAGAACGAACGCUGGCGGCAGGCUUAACACAUGCAAGUCGAACGCCCCGCAAGGGGAGUGGCGCACGGGUGAGUAACGCGUGGGAAUCUGCCUGAUAGUAUGGGAUAACAAUCGGAAACAAUUGCUAAUACCAUAUACCCUCUACGGAGGAAAGAUUUAUCGCUAUCAGAUGAGCCCGCGUUAGAUUAGGUAGUUGGUGGGGUAAUGGCCUACCAAGCCCGCGAUCUAUAGCUGGUCUGAGAGGAUGAUCAGCCACACUGGGACUGAGACACGGCCCAGACUCCUACGGGAGGCAGCAGUGGGGAAUAUUGGACAAUGGGCGAAAGCCUGAUCCAGCAAUGCCGCGUGAGUGAUGAAGGCCUUAGGGUUGUAAAGCUCUUUCAGCAGGGAAGAUAAUGACGGUACCUGCAAAAGAAGCCCCGGCUAACUCCGUG
This 436-nucleotide ribosomal RNA is filed under the name uncultured bacterium. RNAcentral describes it as "bacterial SSU rRNA". It matches the Rfam family "Bacterial small subunit ribosomal RNA", at positions 23 to 507 of the family's 1533-position model. The record is from RNAcentral.